This 273-nucleotide ribosomal RNA is filed under the name uncultured bacterium. RNAcentral's name for it is "partial 16S ribosomal RNA". It matches the Rfam family "Bacterial small subunit ribosomal RNA", at positions 84 to 354 of the family's 1533-position model. The record is from RNAcentral.
CCUGCCGGCGACCGGCGCACGGGUGAGUAACACGUAUGCGACCUGCCCCCCGCAGGGGGAUAACCGGGAGAAAUCCCGACUAAUACCGCGUAACGCCGCGGACCUGCAUGGGUCUGCGGCCAAAGGAAGCGAUUCCGGCGGGGGAUGGGCAUGCGGCGCAUUAGCUAGUCGGCGGGUAACGGCCCACCGAGGCGACGAUGCGUAGGGGUUCUGAGAGGAAGGUCCCCCACACUGGUACUGAGACACGGACCAGACUCCUACGGAAGGCAGCAG